GGUGACGAGUUAUUGACUGAGUGGCGGACGGGUGAGUAACGCGUGGGUAACCUACCUUGUACAGGGGGACAACAGUUGGAAACGACUGCUAAUACCGCAUAAGCGCACAGCAUCGCAUGAUGCAGUGUGAAAAGUUUUUUCGGUACAAGAUGGACCCGCGUCUGAUUAGCUAGUUGGUGAGGUAACGGCCCACCAAGGCGACGAUCAGUAGCCGACCUGAGAGGGUGACCGGCCACAUUGGGACUGAGACACGGCCCAAACUCCUACGGGAGGCAGCAGUGGGGAAUAUUGCACAAUGGGCGCAAGCCUGAUGCAGCGACGCCGCGUGAGCGAAGAAGUAUUUCGGUAUGUAAAGCUCUAUCAGCAGGGAAGAUAAUGACGGUACCUGACUAAGAAGCACCGGCUAAAUACGUGCCAGCAGCCGCGGUAAUACGUAUGGUGCAAGCGUUAUCCGGAUUUACUGGGUGUAAAGGGAGCGUAGGCGGUUUUACAAGUCUGAUGUGAAAGCCCGGGGCUCAACUCCGGUAUUGCAUUGGAAACUGUAGAACUAGAGUGUCGGAGGGGUAAGUGGAAUUCCUAGUGUAGCGGUGAAAUGCGUAGAUAUUA
This 606-nucleotide ribosomal RNA is filed under the name uncultured bacterium. RNAcentral describes it as "bacterial SSU rRNA". It matches the Rfam family "Bacterial small subunit ribosomal RNA", at positions 74 to 699 of the family's 1533-position model. The record is from RNAcentral.